Molecule: long non-coding RNA, 751 nt
Organism: Hypanus sabinus (Atlantic stingray)
Lineage: Eukaryota; Metazoa; Chordata; Chondrichthyes; Myliobatiformes; Dasyatidae
Exons: 3
Source: RefSeq, a predicted model, not a curated record
CUGAAGAAUGAGUGUCAGAGGAGAUAAUAACAACCAUUAAGUUCAAAGUAUAGCACAAUUUAUAUUCCAUAACCAUGCAGGGUGAUUUUAAAUGAUAGGUUUGAUUUUAAUACUUAGAGUGAAUGAGGCAAAGUAAAAAUCUUGUCUGCCUUAGGAUUGGUGUUAUCUAUGGAUGAAAACAUACCACUUAUUACUAUACCACUCAACCAAGACAUGUGGAAACUCAGCUUGAAGUGACUACAUGGCCAUUUAAAUUUGAUCCAAUGGAGGGACAGCAGAUAGUCCUCCUGGUAGAACGUUAAAUAGAUUGCAAUUUGUAUCACUAGGGCAGAUUGCAUUGUUAAUUGGUGGCUCACCUACUGCUAGCUCUAACUAUCAUUUUGUUCACUGCUUCUGUUUUCACACACAGGUAGAUAGUGGAAAGUGGGCACGGCUGCAGAGCAAACAUUUUAUUCUGAACUGCAACAGAAUGGACAUCACCUGAUUAAUCAGCAUUUAUUGCCAUUGAACAGAAUACUUCAACGGGCUAUUUCAGAGUCAAAAUCUUUGGUAGAUCUGGAGUCACAUAUGCAUCAGACCGGAGACUCAAUAUGUUCAUGCAGAUGUUCCUCCAGUUUGUUCCUCAUUCCACCUGCUGAAUUCUACACGCUGUGCAACUACUUUUACAGAGCUGAACGACAGACAGACUAAUCUGUGGAACAUCAGAAUGUUGCAGUUCCUUUCUAGCUUUGUUUGUUGCACACAAUUGGCA